RNAcentral lists this ribosomal RNA (540 nucleotides) under uncultured bacterium. Its description in RNAcentral is "bacterial SSU rRNA". It matches the Rfam family "Bacterial small subunit ribosomal RNA", at positions 355 to 896 of the family's 1533-position model. The record is from RNAcentral.
UGAGGAAUAUUGGGCAAUGCCCGAAAGGGUGACCCAGCAACGCCGCGUGGAGGAUGAAGGUCGUAAGAUUGUAAACUCCUGUUAGAGGGGAAGAAUAACUAAGUUUGGAGCUUAGUAUGACUGUACCCUCAGAGAAAGCCCCGGCCUAACUACGUGCCAGCAGCCGCGGUAAUACGUAGGGGCAAGCGUUGUCCGGAUUUACUGGGUGUAAAGGGCGCGCAGGCGGAAUGGAAAGUCAGUGGUGAAAUCCUACAGCUUAACUGUAGAACUGCCUUUGAUACUUUCAUUCUUGAGUUCGGGAGAGAGAGACGGAAUUCCAGGUGUAGUGGUGAAAUACGUAGAUAUCUGGAAGAACACCAGUUGCGAAGGCGGUCUCUUGGUCCGAUACUGACGCUGAGGCGCGAAAGCGUGGGGAGCAAACAGGAUUAGAUACCCCUGGUAGUCCACGCUGUAAACGAUGAAUACUAGGUGUUGGGUUUUUAACUCAGUGCCGCACUAACGCAUUAAGUAUUCCACCUGGGAAGUACGAUCGCAAGGUUG